GCUAUCACUUAUAGAUGGACCUGCGCCGUAUUAGCUAGUUGGUAAGGUAACGGCUUACCAAGGCAACGAUACGUAGCCGACCUGAGAGGGUGAUCGGCCACACUGGAACUGAGACACGGUCCAGACUCCUACGGGAGGCAGCAGUAGGGAAUCUUCCGCAAUGGGCGAAAGCCUGACGGAGCAACGCCGCGUGAGUGAUGAAGGUCUUCGGAUCGUAAAACUCUGUUAUUAGGGAAGAACAAACGUGUAAGUAACUGUGCACGUCUUGACGGUACCUAAUCAGAAAGCCACGGCUAACUACGUGCCAGCAGCCGCGGUAAUACGUAGGUGGCAAGCGUUAUCCGGAAUUAUUGGGCGUAAAGCGCGCGUAGGCGGUUUUUUAAGUCUGAUGUGAAAGCCCACGGCUCAACCGUGGAGGGUCAUUGGAAACUGGAAAACUUGAGUGCAGAAGAGGAAAGUGGAAUUCCAUGUGUAGCGGUGAAAUGCGCAGAGAUAUGGAGGAACACCAGUGGCGAAGGCGACUUUCUGGUCUGUAACUGACGCUGAUGUGCGAAAGCGUGGGGAUCAAACAGGAUUAGAUACCCUGGUAGUCCACGC
RNAcentral lists this ribosomal RNA (597 nucleotides) under Staphylococcus sp. CHAK3-1. RNAcentral's name for it is "bacterial SSU rRNA". It matches the Rfam family "Bacterial small subunit ribosomal RNA", at positions 211 to 800 of the family's 1533-position model. Lineage: Bacteria; Bacillati; Bacillota; Bacilli; Caryophanales; Staphylococcaceae. The record is from RNAcentral.